CAGUGGACACGUGCCGAAAACAAAACAUACAAAUAUAAGUUGUCAUCCAUCAACAGUAUCACACGGGGGUUUUUUUCAAAAAGGCCCGAGCAUACUAAAUUCUUUUGUGAUCUUAAAAGUCCGACUGAUUAGUCUAAGUUCUUGUGUAUUCUGCCAUGUCUGAUAAUCUAGUGUACCGUGAAGGUGGCCACCUUCAACAGUACCAUCGCCGGCCAACCUCUUUAGGAUGACUCACGACUCUUGUGCACCACAAUCGAAACGUUUUGGCGUAGCCAAAACCAACAAACAAAUAUCUUCAACAGACAAAUAUCUCCAACAGGCAGGUCUCAAAAACAAACACUUUAUGGCAUGACAACAACUUUAAAUGAAAUGAUCACAUAUCCAUUUUUGAGAAAAAGGUAUUUCAUAACUUCAAAAGUAUUUGCUUUAUAUCCACACUAUAAUGCUGGAUAUUUAAAAGAAAGCCCACCUGGUAUGCUUAUCUCCAAUUAAAAUCCUCGUUUGGCCUCACUUGCCCUUUGAAUAAAUUCUCCUUUAGAAAUAAAUAGCGUAACACGCUAAUUAGUACUAGAACUAUUUUUCUGAAAAAGAAUGCAUGCAUCAUAUAUGAUAGCAUCUAUCUCUUAGUCUCAACUUAUAGAGUUUUCCCUUAAAUCCUAACUCGGCUUCACUAUACUGCAGCAUUUAAAUAUUCACUUUACUUAUCUUGGAUAAAUUCUAAUAUCUCUUAAUAAAAUAUGGAUUCUUAAAAUCCCUCCUUAAAUUCCUUCUUCUUCGGAUUUUUCUUAAGGCCGCCCAUGGCGUCGCGGGGCGACGCCGCUCGGCCCUUCGCAUCUCUGCUUAUUUUUCCAUCUUCGAAACUCAAAUUAUUCGGAUAUUAAUUUAAUUAAACUCCAAGCUUAAUUCCUUAAAUUAAUUCCUUUCCAAAAUAAUAUUAAAUUUCCAAGUCCACUAAUUAAAGUAGCUCACUCCAACCAAAAUCCCUCGGCCCAAAAAUUCAAUCGGCCUAACAUAUUAAUUAUUCUAUAGGCCCAAGCAAUUAAUUUACUUGGCCCAACUCAUUCUAUUAUUCACCUCUGGUCCAAUAAACAAAUUAAUAGGAGCCCAACUAAUUUAUUAAAAUUGGCCCAAAAACUUGCUCCCUUUUUUCUUCUCCAUCGUGACCUCCUCAAAUCAUCUUCAUCUUCCCCAAAUGACAUCCCCAAUUUGGGAAAUCACCGACGCCUGCUUCCCCUCUCACGCCUCCUCCAGCGAAAACGCCGAUUGAGGAGAAAGGCGUCGCCUUUCUUCCUCUGGCUCUUUCUCAAUUCUGAAUCUGUAAAUUUUCUUUUUCUAGAUCGAAGUAGUGCUUCCGUCCGUCCUCGUCUCCUUCUCCGGCGAAAUCGCGUUGCAGUCGGCUCGCUCUCCACCGAUCAUUGCCACCGGUGUCGAGUUCUUUCUCCCGACGAGGUUCCCGACAGAGAAGGCGUCGCCUCCCUUCCACAGCGUCGAUACCGACCGCCGCUUCCCCCGUCGCGUCGGCGUUCGCCCGUCGCCAGUCCGCCCGCCGUUCACGCGGCUUCCGUGUUCUUAUUUGCUAUAUGAUGCUUGUUUCUUGCUAUUGAUGUGGAGAUCCUAUUGAAAUCCUAAGUUCUCGGCUACUUAUUUGCUUGUUCUAAUUAAUGCAAGAAUUGGUUUCGGGGGAAUUACCUCAGCUUGAUGAACCUUGUUCUGCCCUCUUACUGUCACAGCCUCGCGCUUCCCGUUCCUCCCUCCGUCGCACUCCACGCCUGAAAAUCUUGGGCCGAAAGAGUGUGUGGAGGGAAGGGCGAUGGCUGUAUUUAUAGGCCAAUUCUUUGGCUUCUUGUGGCAGAUUUUUGAGCAUUGGUGCUUCUAUUUUCGGCUAGGGGUUUAGCUCCCUUUUGAGAUUUGUAACUAGGGUGAUCAUGCUAGAUUGGUGUAAGUUUGGGGGGCUGCCAUUAUUGGCUGGUAUCUCUGCCUCGGUUGAGGAGGAGAGUACUUUGUUGCCUCAAAAAGGUCUUAGUGAUGAGCUCAUUCCUUGCUCCUUUUUGUUCUUUCCCUUUCUUGGAGGAUUGGUGAUGUACAUGGCUGUCCAAGCUUGGUGUUUUAUGGGGCAACAAUCGAGAGAGGAGGAAUGAGGGGAAGAGAGAAAGAGACCUCACUCUUGGAGUUCUUUGUUUUCUAUACUACUUUAGUUAUUUCCAAGAUUGUAUUGUCUUUUUCAUGUACUAUUAGCAUCUGCAUUAUCCAUGAAAUUGUAUUACUAAAUUGCUCUUCUAUCAAAAGCAUAUCACUCCUUUUAUUCUUGAA
Molecule: long non-coding RNA, 2310 nt
Organism: Salvia splendens (bonfire salvia)
Lineage: Eukaryota; Viridiplantae; Streptophyta; Magnoliopsida; Lamiales; Lamiaceae
Exons: 2
Source: RefSeq, a predicted model, not a curated record